Molecule: long non-coding RNA, 11225 nt
Organism: Pseudopipra pipra
Lineage: Eukaryota; Metazoa; Chordata; Aves; Passeriformes; Pipridae
Exons: 5
Source: RefSeq, a predicted model, not a curated record
UAAGUUCACAUAUCUCUGCGUUUGAGAGCAACUUAUUUUUUAAAUGUUGCAUGCCCGGAGAGUGGUGGGGAACGGUGCUGCGUCCAGUUGGCCACCGGUCACUGGUCGUGUCCCCCAGGGAUCAGUGUUGGGCCCAAUGCUGUUUAAUAUCCUGUUUAAUAUCUUUAUUGAUAAUUUUAGAUGAGGGGUUUGAGUCCACCAUUAGCAAAUUUGCAGAUGACACCAAGCUGGGGGGUAGUGUUGAUCUGCUGGAAGGCAGGAGGGCUCUGCAGAGGAACGUGGACAAGCUGGAGAGUUGGGCUGAUUCCAAGGGGAUGAGGUUCAACCAGGCCAAGUGCCGGGUCCUGCACUUUGGCCACAACAACCCCCAGCAGCCCCCUGGGCUGGGGACAGAGUGGCUGGAGAGCAGCCAGGCAGAAAAGGAUGUGGGAGUUUGGACUGUCAAGAAGCUGAACAGGAGCCAGAGUGUGCCCAGGUGGCCAAGAAGGCCAAUGGAUCCUGGCCUGGUUCAGGAAGAGUGUGGCAGCAGGAGCAGGGAAGUGAUUCUUGCCCUGUACUCGGCGCUGGUGAGGCCACCCCUGGAGCGCUGUGUCCAGCUCUGGGCCCUCAGUUCAGGAAGGACGUGGAGGGGAGCAACAAGGCUGGGGAAGGGACUGGAGCACAAGUGGUGUGAGGAGAGGCUGAGGGAGCUGGGGGUGUUGAGGCUGGAGAAGAGGAGGCUCAGGGGAGACCUCAUCACUCUCUACAGCUCCCUGCCAGGAGGUUGUAGCCAGGUGGGGGUUGGUCCCUUCCCCCAGGCAGCUAUCCUGGGAGUAAGACAAGAGCGCUUGGUCUUCAGCUGUGCCAGGGGAGGUUUAGGUUAGAUAUUUGGAAGAAAUUCUUUACAGAGAGGACAUUCAGGCAUUGGAGUGGGCUGCCCAGGGAAGUGAUGGAUUCUCCAUCCCUGGAGGUUUUUAAGAUGAAACUGGAUGUGGCAUUGAGUGCCAUGCUCUAGUAACUGCAGCAGUAGUGGAUCGAGGGUUGGACUUGAUGAUCUGACAGGUCCUUUCCAACCCAGCUGAUUCUAUGAUUCUAUGAUUUCUAUUCUUUGAAUUACUUGAGAGUGCUUGUGAAAACCAAAUAAUUAGGUGUUGAAAUUUGGACACAGCUGUUUAGGCUAGAAUUUAAACACAGGAGCCAUCGCAGUGGGUCAGUAGAUAGUGGCAGCAAUUUCUUUUUGGCCCAAGAUAUAAUUCUGAAGAUUGAGAUAUGUGAUUGUGGUACUACUGUGAAAAAUGAGAUAAACUGUGUUAGCUUUAACUUCUUUCGCAGUAUGUUUUUGGUCUAAGUAACAUGUUUUACCCCACAUUUGCAGUAAGUUUAAGGGACAUGUGGUCAGCUACCAGUGCUCAGGUGACAGGCAGUAUAUUUUUUUGGUACAGAAUUAAUUGUUUCAGAAAUAAUAAUGUGUGAGCCCUCAUCUCUCAAGAGGGACCGCUCUGCUACUCUGUGCAGGAUGUUUUAAAUCAGUGUUGUAAUUGCAUGUUAAUGGAGAAAUCAUAUGUAAUUUAAAAGAAGAAUUGAAUACUUUUGGAACAUUUUUUUUAGAUAAAGUAAAUCCCAUUACACAUUAAAAUAUUAAAUGGAUGUGUGGGAACCUGUAGCCACUUUUCAGCUUUCUUCAAGUUCAUCUGGUCUGCAGGUACUUGAAUCUCUCAUGCGUUGAAAAGUUUGUCUGAGUGACAUCACAGGGAUUUCCAGACAGAAAUAUAAAGAAAUUAUAAUUGCUGUCUUUCUAAUGCCAACUUUAGUAUAGGAAGCUGGUUUUAGAAAUAUUUCAGUGUGUGCGUUACACUGAAAAAUACACUCAACUACAAAGGUGGAAUCACUAAAAUAAUUCCAAGAGUUUAAAGGUUAGAGAGGACUGCUGGCAAAACAGGUGGUUCCUAUAUAAGACAAGCAGAAAUUCAAAUUUCAAAGCUGAAUUUAUAAUUUAGUGUCAAUUCUAACAUGAUAUAACAGUUGUUAUCAGGUUAAUGAGGCACAGUUGAUAUGAAUUUCUGUUAUCUGAAUUAAAAAAGUUGUUGUUAAUAAACUUGAGAUGUGACUUUGAAUCUAAAUAAGGAGCAGAUGAACUAGAUAAAGUUGUUGCAUUUGCAUUUACUUUGUUUCUUUUCUAGACGAAAUUAUGUCAAUUUUCCCUCUAAUGUUUGCAAAUUAUGUCAGUGACUAAUGAUUCAUGUUUUCAGUGUCUUUAUAUUGUAAUCUUGAGGUAAUAAUUUCUUUCAAGAUAAAUGUUAUUUAAAUUACUGUUGUUACAGAAGUGGAUCGAUAAAAUGUUCUUACUUACAGGAUUUAGAGUUUAUGCUUCUGGACAGGUUGCUUUGCUUGCCAAGUCCCUUUUCAUUCUGGCACCACAGGGGUUAUAAAGCAGUAGAGCCCCUGACAGCUCUAUUUAUAUAGGUGUAUAUUUGUACAGAGCUAUAUGCAGAUUACAGACUGCUCAGUUCAUUGUUUUUUAAAGCCAGGUUUUCGUAGACUUCCAAGGAGCAGUGUGAGUAUGCAGACUCUGAAACUCAAUCUCUCUCCUCUGCAAUUGCUGUUGUUCAGGUUGGGUCUCAGUUGUGACUGGGGCCCUCAGAAGCUACCUGGAAGAAUAAGACUACUGAAGAUAAAAGUAUCAUGUUUCUCAAUUGAAAUGUCACACUGGGGUGCUUUAACAGAAGUAUGUUUUGUUUUCUUAUAGCACUGGGAGUUUGCCCCAAACAGUGUUUGUUACUCUGUGGCAAAGGAUGGUGGGUCUGUACCCUUUGUGAAAACAGCAGAACCCCACUUCUUAGAAAUGUAUGCACCCCAGAUAGCAAAAGCUUACAUUACUUCUAGACUGGAAUGUGUUUCUCAAGUUGUAAGGUAAACUUGUAAUUGCAACUUUCAGGCAGUAAUAUGGAGUGUUUAAUUUUCUGAUUUAUUGGCAUAUUAUGUUUUGGUAUAAUCUGAGUAUGCUGGUUCUGAUUAUCAUGGUGAUUUCUUUAGAUUGUCUUAAUGGGCUGAUAACAUUUUAUUCCUUUUGCUUAUUAACUUUAGGCCACAAUCAAAUGUAAAUUCUAGCUUUUUUUCAUUUCAUGGGCCUUUACUGACUUUCUAAUGGUUCAAAAUCAUGACCAUUUCUAUCGUCUCAGGAACAGGAAUCACUAGUACCUAGGAAAGCUUCCAGUGAUCCAGGGCUAGGACAGGGAAGGACAAGCAGCUCACUGCGGGUGCUGCCAAUUUUCCUGGGCCUUCUCUCAACCAGCUACACUUCUUUUGGCAUCUUUAGGUUAUUUUCUCUGUUCAGCUUUUCUGUAAUGAAAUCUCAGGGUUGAAAUUUCAUGUCUCAGCUUUUUUCUCCUAAGUAGGACUCAGUAGUGCUAAGCUUCUGGGUCAAACCAUCUGGCUUGAUCAGCUCCAAUGAAAUGUGCUAUUGCCUUCAUCAGCAUCACCAUCAGCACUGAAAAUUCAGUUUCUUUCUUUGGUACUGAUGAAAGAUUCUUCUUGAUGUCCAUGUUACAUUGUGGAGGAGUAAACUUUCUAACCUGUGUAGAAAGCUAACAGGGAAAAGAUGAGGAAAGUACUGACCUUCUCUUCUACCAGUCUGUGUCAUUCUUAAGACAGUCUUGGUAGUGCUGUUUCCACGUAUCCCUCCCUGUCUCCAAGUGAUUUGUAUUCCACUCUUGUGUUGUCAUACUCUCUUACAUGAUGGAGAUCCUUAGCUGUGGCAUUUCUGUAGACAGCCAUAUCAAAUGUAGACUUUAUUAUCAAAUGUCCAGGCCAUUCCUGAGAAGCAUGGGUUGUCCGGGAGCUAAUUUCAUAAGACUUCUUUCAUUUACUCCAAGGAGAUUGAUACAUUCACAAACAAAUCCUGUUUUCCGGAGUAACCAUGUUUCUUAAAAACCAGGGUAAUUGAUAACAUCACCCUCCAUCCUGGAGCCAUCCAUCAGGUUCUUCACACAGAGAAAGAGGUAGGUUGGAACAAUGAAAGGAAAGUCACUUUUGCCCUUUUUUAGGGAGUUUGAAGAGCUAUUCUCCCUUUUGAGUAAGGGUGAGUAAGGAACUAGUGAUUUUUCUACAAAUGGUCUACAAGAGGAUGCUUCUCUACAAACUAGAAGGAGAUCUUUUAUUUCAAGUAUUUGUAAGUACCUGAGAAGGAGUCUGUUUCUAGCCCAUCUGGAACAUUAUGAUUUUCAGCUGCUGUGUAUCUUUCAAAACUUGGAUGUUAUUCCUGUUGGCUUUCGCUUUUUGUCUGUAGAUUGUUUGUUGUCUGUGCAGCAAAACAUAACCUUCUGAUGAAUAAACCUUUCCUUUUGUGAGUCGUGCAAGGAGUAUCAAGGCAUUUUAUGGCAAGAGCUAUUGGUUUCAUAGUUACAGGCAUUCCAUAGGCACUCAGCUGGUUUACAGCAGAAUAGAAGGCGGUUUAUAAAGCAGUUGCAUGAAAUUUUACUAAAGCUUGCUUGUUGCCUUUGAUAUCAUGGUCUUGUGCUUAAAUUGAUAAAUAUGCAAAAUCCGUUUCUACUAAAUAGUCCCUUAUUUCCUCCCAUCAUCCUCUGAGAAAGAUGCUCCUUAUUAAUAGUCUAUUCAGGCACAGUGGACCUUGGUUAUUCAGGUUUUACAUUUCUGAAUUCAUAAUGCCAACCUCAUCUCCUCUUUUCUCUUUAAAAUAUGUUAAGAGGAAGGCUUAAGUAGAAUACUGUUCUGUGUUUGUUGGAUGUGUAUGAGUAUGUAUGUAAAUAGAAUGAGAUCUGUGUCUCUUGUAUUCACCAGCUGCAGUGAGUUCAGCAGUUCAGUGACAGUGGGACAAGCUCUGGGUGGGAAAACAGCCUUUAAGCAAUAGUGGCUACAUGGUUACUUGUUCUCUCUAUUCUAGAGGUGGCUUAGCAGAUCCACUGGAUGAUACAGCAAGUUUUUCCAAAAGCAGGAGCAACUGUGCACAGUUAGCAGGCGUGAAUACCAAAAGACCUGUACACUUCUGUAACAGUUGUUUGACUGAAAUGCACAAAACUACCAAAAACCAUUGCACUCUCCCAGUAGGAAUCCAUUAGAAAUCACAGUUCAGGAAGGUCUAUGCCCAAAUGUCAGAAGCCUUGGGAAUAACAGGUGACAACCAUUUAUGGAAGCAUUUAUGACAAAAAUAUUCACAAAGGAGGCCUCAUACUGAAGGAGACAAGAGGGGUUAGCAUCAUCUGCCUUCACAUCUCUGGUAUUUGGCAGAAUAAGAUGUGUUAUGAACAUUAAAUACUGGGGAAGAUGUGAGCCCAUGAUUUCAAGAACUCUUCAGUUUCCAAAUGACCUUUCUGUUGGAUAUCCUUUUUACUGGAUAUGGCACAACACAUUAUUUGAAAAUAAUAAGUUUUUAAAAGGUGUGCUUAUUUCUACCUACUUUUACCAACAAAAGACAAAUCAUAUAACUAGUUGCUUAUGGUCAUCUGUCCCAGUCCUAAUCUUCUUGAAGUCAAUACCGUUGAUGAGUUCAACAAUAUUGAGAACGGGACUGAUUCUGUUGGCAGCUGAGAAGAGGAUUGGUUCUACUUGAGGAUGAGUCAACUAAGGUAUGAAGCAUAAGCUGGAUUUCAAACACAAGCCUUUUGACAUGUUUUGUUGUCUGAUUCCAAGUUCCUCACUGUUUCAGUGUUAUCAUUACUGUUAUCAUUACUGCUGAUAAACCAGCCUGACCUUUGCAUGUGGAUUUUUGUCUGGGUUCAAGUAUUUUUGUAAUAUUCUUACCCAGUCAUGGAUGCUAACUUGCUAUCUAUUGCAAACCUUUUGUGUCUUAUUCUAAUUAAUAUUCACUUACCAUGAGUUGGAGAAGAAUGUUUGCUCUUUGAAUUUUCAGUCAAUCAAGCAAGAAGAUUGAAAAAAAAACCAGUCUAGCAGUGGUGUUCGAUGUGACACAGUGUUUAAAGGUAUAUGACAGAUAAUAAACCACCAGGGUGCAUGAACUCAUUCAACAUUGAAAUCCUUAGCUGUUUUAAAAUAAAACUGACUUUUCAGUAAUUUUCUAGAGGAGGUUGUUACACAAGCACAGGGGAACACACCUGGAAUAUGACAAGUGGUAUCAUUUUGUUUAUCCAUAGAACUCUAAUCACGUAAGAAUAAUAUAUUUUCUUGGGUUGAAAGAUGAGUGUGGGUUUUCACAUUCCACAAGUGAAUUUUAUUUAAUGAAAACCAUACAAGGUGUACUUGUGUAUGUUUACUUCAAAUACCAUUAAGCAGCUCACUUGAUAGUGUAAAUAUGCAUGUGUUUAUGUUCUCAUGGCAUCACAGAAAUGAGACUGGGAAGGAGAUGGAAAUGAAACAUUACAAAGGAAUUUGACAAAAACAGAAAGGGAGACAUUUAUUUCAUUAACAAGAUUUAUGAAGGAACUAAUGAGCUCUCUCCUGCUUUCUACCAGAAACUUAUUGCUUCGCAAGGGUUCAAAACACUUUCAGAAUCCCCAUGAGUGCACCUAAACUGGGAGGGCUUGGUUGUUUCUGUGUGUUUGCUGACAGGAUCAGCCUUGUGUUGCUCCUAAAGCCAGCAAGCAUUCAGCAUUUCAUGUUGUCUUCUGGAGGCUUGCAAAGGCAUGUAUUCCUGUGGGAGCUCUCCAGAAGUAGGGUCAGGAUAAACUAUUGGUGCAAAUAAUACUUUCCAAGGCUGAAAUGUCUGGAUAGUUUCAGUGUUCCGAUUACUUAAAUUAUAUUUGCAGUAAAUGAGUUUCUGCUCAUGAAAUAGAUGUAAUAAUAUCAGGACCUAGAAAGGAUGAAAAAGUAGAUAUUUAAUAACCUGAGUUCUCUUGAAGAGUAGCAUUGUGGGGUUUUUCUUUGCAGAAACUGGCUAACUACUGACAGAGUGGUUUUAGACCCUUCUGCAUACUCAGGAUGUAAAGCAGCACUGCCCUCAUAAAUGCACAUCUUUAACAGCAAUUUGAAGUGUUGAAAGACUAGCAAAAAGAGAGAUUAGCUAAAAACAUAAAUACCCCAAAUGUAUUCAAUUACUUUCAAUGACAGUGAUUCAAACAGGAGCUCUGAGAACGGUGACUUUGCUGCAUAGAGAGGUGGGGUUGUGCCAAGGCAGCUUUAAUGCUGCUUCACUUCACCGUGAUCUUGUAUUAGUUAAGUUUAAAAUUGUGUUCCCUGGCAAACCAUAAAAGAUUUCAAAAGUAUUAGACACCCACUUUUGUGCUGGAAUUUAAUAUGCAACUUUUUAUUGGAAAAUAAUCGUUCUUGUCUGGCGAAAUCCACCAUGCAAUAUUUCUGUUAGUAGGCAUAAUGCAAUAAAGACAGGGAGGGCUAUUUAUCACUACAAAUUUUGAGGAUUUCAGGAUUCUUUUUAUUAUUUUAAUAUAUUUCUUUGGUAUUAAAUCAGAAAAAUGAUAAAUUACACCUGUCGAGGCUGUUUUUCCUUUUUCCCAGAAAAUGAUGUACAACCUAAUUUCACUGGUCAUUUUGGCUUUUAAAGAUAUGUAUUUUUUUCCUAUUAAAAACUCUACCAAUAGGGGUUUUUUUUAAUAAUAAUACUGAAGUACUUUUUAUUUCAAACAUAUGAAGUAGUUUAUAACUACUUCCUGGCAUUGCAAACUUUGGCCUUUUCACAUUAUAUUAGGAUUUUUUUAAAAGGCAUUAAGUAUAUAUUGCUUUGAAAGAAAUAGUGUAUUGUUAAGAAGCUAGAUCCAGUGGAUCAAUUUUCAGUAUUUGAAAUAGAUUAAAUUGUGGCUAGCCUGAAAGGUUACAACAAUAAUUUAUUUCAUUUCAGUACUUCCCUGUACAUAAUCAGCUUUUACACAGUCUUAGAAAUCAGUAUUUUUCUUUUUUUAAGUGUAUAAUCAUCUUUUUCUAAAGGAUAAUGUAGAAUUAAAAGCAAAACAUAAUUUCAGCAACUGCAAUAUAUAACAGGAAAAAAAGAAGAAAAACCAUAAGAAGGUAUCAACAACAGAUGAUUGGGGCUGGUGUCAUGGUUUACAUUGCUUUCACAAUUAUUCCAGGUUUGCAUAUUUCGAAAUGUAUUAGUCCAAUCUGAUUUCAAAGCUCAGUUAUUUGAAUUAUAAAUCAUUAUGUCCCUCCUAGCUGAUCAGUUGUGAAAUAUCUUUGAAUUCAUUUGCAUAAUGGAAUAUGUUAGUCGUUCCUUUAUGUCUGUGAAGCCACAGUGCUCCCUCAUACAUGUUUAGUUCUUUCUACUAAUUAACUUUUCCUCUGUAUAUUUUUGUAGCAAAAUAAAUACAGUUUCAUUAUUAUUUUGUACAGUAACUUGGGAUAAAAUACUUUUAGUCUCUCAAACAUUCUUAAUCCUUGUCUUUGUUAGCCUUGUUACAAAAGGCUCUGCCUUGUAACAGGGCAGGGAGCCAACUAUGUAGCUUUGCAAUAUAAAACCAGGUAAUGCCAUGCCGGAUGUUAUGGAUUGACAAGAGAAACAACUCUCAAAACUUGAUUAGGAAAUUUUCCAAUAGAAGGCAGCUAUAAAAUCUGCUCUUACAAUUUUACCUGUUUAAAAAGAAUUUAACCUACUUAAAAUGAAAAGGGAAAUUGUUUAUUCCCAUAAAAGUUAUUGGACUCUAGUCAGUGAUGUGCAGGAAUGGCAGAGUGAAGCAAGCACUCAGAAAAAAGCCCCAGUACCAAUGGUAAGUGUUGUGGGUAUUUGUGAAGUCUCUGUGUGUACAGGACUGCAGGAACACAUCCUGGGUGUUGCUUAUGAGCUCAUCAGUGCCAGCAACAUUGCUCAGUGAACUACUGAGUCCUGUGUUUGUAGCAUUCAUUGUAGAGUAUACAAGCCCUUAAGUAAUUUCUUCAUUUGGUGCCUUCCAUGCUUAGGAAUAUUUCUGAAGUUUUGAAGUUUGAGUUUUUCUAUGGCAUUUCUGAGAAAGUGCACUGAUGUACUGGGAUAUUGCAAAACCUUUUAUAUCCCCAUUUUAGAGAUGCAGAACUGAGACAGUGGAAUUUAACUGAGUUUCUGUAAGUCAUACAGUGAUUUCAUGUCAAAUGAAGGAGAAGCAGGAGUCAGGAAAUCCCAGCCAUUGUUUUGGCCACUCUCGUGCUCCUGUUUUGCAAACGUGGCUCGCAGCAGUCGCUGCUUCGGUGCAGAAACUCUCAAAGGUGCCAGCAUGGCUCUCUUUGCAAGACACAGGAUUAUCACCUGUAUCCAGCCCCAGAUGCUUGAAUCAUCUGAGACAGGGAAUGUGCGUGUGUACUCAUGCUGUUAAGAGAUGUCAUAAUUCACAGAGCUAGGAAAGGAUUUGAAUUGUAGGAACAGGUCUGAACCAUCUGAUUUAAGGGCUUCUUUAACAGAGUUUUUGCAAACUCAACUUUUUAUUUAAGAUGAUUUCUUGUGCUUUUAAAAAGAAACCUUAAGAAAAAUACUAUUUUGUCAUACAUAAGUACCUAGAAGAUGUGAUCUGCAGAAUUACUGCAGUCCAGGAGAUACACUGCUCCUGCAUCAGUGUGCAGCUCCCUGGGUCCUUGGUAUCUGGGCAGGUGCAGACACACUGGAGCUCAUCUUGCUCGACCAGGGCCGGGAGCUUUGACCAGGGGUCAGGUACCUUGGCUGAUCAAUGCAGAGUACCCAGCAGCCCUUCCCCAGGGCCUGUGGGUAGCAGUGUGGUGGUUGAGGUCAGGUGAGGCUGCAGUUACCUGGGCUGUCACCAGUUAGCCAGCUGUGCAGUGGAAGAUUUCAGUUCAUGCGUAUCAGGAGUCAGUUAAUUUGCUUUCUGCUUUAUCCAGUUUGAGAAACUGGAGUUUCUGUGGAAAUGCUCAUUGAUACAUCCAAAAUUCUCAGCUGUACCCUCUUGGUAUGGACUUUGCUAUGGCUCUGAGACUGUAUGCUUGUAGGAGAUUUCCAUUCAGGUCUUACAUGUCUGAAAAUACUUUCAAAGAAUCACAGAAUUGUUAGGGUUGGAAGGGACCUCUGGAGAUCCAACUCUGCUGCUGAGGCCAGGUCACCUGGAGCAAGUGUCAUAGGAGCAUGUCCAGGUGGGUUUGGAAUGUCUCCAGAGAGAAGACUCCAUGACCUCCCUGAACAGCCUGUUCCAGUGCUCUGCCACCCUCAAUGUAAAUAAGUUCUUCCUCACAUUGAGAUGAAACUUCUUGUGUUUUAGUUUAUGGCUGUUGUUCCUCGUCCUGUCCCUGGGCACCACUGAAGAGUCUGGCACCAUUCGCUGACACCCACCUUGUAGAUAUUUAUAUGCAUUGAUGAGAUCCCCUCUGUCUUCUUUUCUCCACACUUAACAGGCCCAGCUCCCACAGUCUAUCCCCAUCAUAGAGAUGCUCCAGACCCCUCCAUUAUCUUUGUGGCCUCCUCUGGAUGCUCUCCAGGAGCUCCGUGUCUCUCUUGUCCUGAGGAGCCCAGAACUGGAGGCAGCACUGCAGAUGGGCCUCCCCUGAACACAGAGGCAGGAUCCCCUCCCUGACCUGCUGCCAAUGCUCUUCCUGAUUCCCCCAGGAUCCCAUCAGCCCUCCUGGCCACAAGAGCACACUGCCAGCUCACAAUCAACCUGUCAUCCACCAAGACCCCCAGGUCCUUCUUCUCAGAGCUGCUCUCUAGUAGGUCAGUCCCCAACCUGUACUGCUACCUGGGGUUGUUCCUCCCCAGCUGCAGGACCUGCACCUGCCCUUGUGUAUUCAUGCUUAAUUAGGUGCUGUUACUUUUCAGUCUGUGUUUGGCCCAGCCACACGCGAGAGUCUGUUCUUUUCCUGCCACAAGCACCGAAAAACGAGAACAUCGUCCUUGAAGGAAGCAUAUUGUAUAAACUGAAGUUAAUUGGGGCCUCACUGUUGGCUGACGGCCCUCCAAGGGCACUUGAAGGAGAAAGUGAAGAGGAGGAGGAUGAAGUAAUCCCCCAGACUCAUUUAGGCCCCGAGGCAUAGCAUGAGGGCACAGACACAUUCCAGAGUACCCACGCGUGCGAGAAGAGGCACCACUACAUCACGGGGGGAGGGACUGGCUGGGCAGUGCUGGCCCCACCUGCCCAGGUAGACAUCACAGGUUAAUUGUAUAAAAAGCAGAGAGCUCUUGCUGGGAGUGAACUCAGGCUUCACGUGGAGGACAGUGAUGCCUUGGCAGGAGCGCCCGUUACCAUGUGAGCUGCUGAUGCACCGGGGAUGCAGCUUCUGCUAUGGGGAAUUCUAAGCAUGCUGGGGUCGGUAAGACAACCUCGUAAGUAACACCUGAGUGGGAGGGGGUUACCCUGGGGGCUUGUUUCCCUUCUCUUUCCUGUCUCUUGGUUUCUUGUUUUGUUGGUUACUUG